RNAcentral lists this ribosomal RNA (459 nucleotides) under uncultured bacterium. RNAcentral's name for it is "partial 16S ribosomal RNA". It matches the Rfam family "Bacterial small subunit ribosomal RNA", at positions 338 to 795 of the family's 1533-position model. The record is from RNAcentral.
CCUACGGGUGGCAGCAGUGAGGAAUAUUGGUCAAUGGGCGCGAGCCUGAACCAGCCAAGUAGCGUGAAGGAUGACUGCCCUACGGGUUGUAAACUUCUUUUAUAAAGGAAUAAAGUGAGGCACGGGUGUGUUUUUGUAUGUACUGUAUGAAUAAGGAACGGCUAACUCCGUGCCAGCAGCCGCGGUAAUACGGAGGAUGCGAGCGUUAUCCGGAUUUAUUGGGUUUAGAGGGUGCGCAGGCGGAUUUUUAAGUCAGCGGUAAAAUCGUGGGGCUCAACCCCAUCCAGCCGUUGAAACUGGGGAUCUAGAGUGUGCGAGAGGUAUGCGGAAUGCGUGGUGUAGCGGUGAAAUGCGUAGAUAUCACGCAGAACCCCGAUUGCGAAGGCAGCAUACCGGUGCACAACUGACGCUCAGGCACGAAAGCGUGGGUAUCGAACAGGAUUAGAUACCCGAGUAGUC